UGGGGUGUGGCUUAUUUGGAAGGCACAUACUUAGCAUGUAGGAGGUCCUGGGUUUGAUUCACAGCACUACAU
Molecule: transfer RNA, 72 nt
Filed under: Mus musculus (house mouse)
Lineage: Eukaryota; Metazoa; Chordata; Mammalia; Rodentia; Muridae
Rfam family: tRNA
About the family: Transfer RNA (tRNA) molecules are approximately 80 nucleotides in length. Their secondary structure includes four short double-helical elements and three loops (D, anti-codon, and T loops).
Source: Rfam by way of RNAcentral